AACGGCAAACGUACGUAUCGGCCGCUUGCUUUGGUGGUCAUUUAUCGGCACCAACCCGAGAUUGUGGCCGCACCGAAAGAGCGCCGUGAAAUCUGUGAUGGAAGAAGGCAAUUGGGGAUCCCGCUCCAAGAUUGCCCUCAGCUGCGUCGAUUCUUGAUUCUUGAUUUGUGCUUCCUUUCCCCCGCACACAAUGUUUUCGGCCGCCCUUGCCCCUUGCUGGUUAAUCCGACGCUGCUCGUCGAUUGAGAUUGCGGCAACGAUGUCGGUAGGAUUCGUAAUCGGAGAUCAUCUUUAACUACGUGAUUCGAAGGAAAGAAUUGGAUUCACACAAGAUUUGGGAGUUCUUGGAAUCUGCUUUUGUCAGACAAGUAGCAUCAUCUUAUUGCGGUGGGUAGUAUUCACUUCCUCUUUAUCUUUUACUGAUGUCGUUUUAGGCCAUGUGUUGUAAUGUAAACACUUGUUCAGAAAGACCUAAAGUGUAAUAUCUGGAAAGUAGCUAAGCAUGUGAGGUGACUGAUACUUCUGAAACAUAGAGGCUGAAAUGAGCCUGUUAUGAGUGAGAUUGAUAUAUAUUGUGGCUUCUUGGUUGGUUUGCUUCU
Musa acuminata AAA Group (dessert banana) is the source of this 599-nucleotide long non-coding RNA. RefSeq lists it as uncharacterized. Lineage: Eukaryota; Viridiplantae; Streptophyta; Magnoliopsida; Zingiberales; Musaceae. The record is from RefSeq and is a predicted model, not a curated record. The transcript has 2 exons.